This 253-nucleotide ribosomal RNA is filed under the name uncultured bacterium. RNAcentral describes it as "partial 16S ribosomal RNA". It matches the Rfam family "Bacterial small subunit ribosomal RNA", at positions 524 to 776 of the family's 1533-position model. The record is from RNAcentral.
GACGGGGGGGGCAAGUGUUCUUCGGAAUGACUGGGCGUAAAGGGCGCGUAGGCGGCUCGCUAAGUCGGAUGUGAAAACUCUGGGCUCAACCCAGAGCCUGCAUUCGAAACUGACGAGCUGGAGUUCUGGAGGGGAAAGCGGAAUUCCUGGUGUAGCGGUGAAAUGCGUAGAUAUCAGGAGGAACACCGGUGGCGAAGGCGGCUUUCUGGACAGAAACUGACGCUGAUGCGCGAAAGCUAGGGGAGCAAACAGG